This 264-nucleotide ribosomal RNA is filed under the name uncultured archaeon. Its description in RNAcentral is "partial 16S ribosomal RNA". It matches the Rfam family "Archaeal small subunit ribosomal RNA", at positions 719 to 982 of the family's 1478-position model. The record is from RNAcentral.
AGUCACUGACAUUAGAUACCCGGGUAGUCCAGGGUGUAAACGCUGCAGACUUGGUGUUGGAGGCCCUUUGGGGGCAUUCAGUGCCGGAGAGAAGUUGUUAAGUCUGCUACUUGGGGAGUACGUCCGCAAGGAUGAAACUUAAAGGAAUUGGCGGGGAGCACCGCAACGGGAGGAGCGUGCGGUUUAAUUGGAUUCAACACCGUAAAACUCACCAGGGAAGACUGUUACAUGAAGGCCGAGAUGAAGACUCUGCUAGAUUUUCAG